This 495-nucleotide ribosomal RNA is filed under the name uncultured bacterium. RNAcentral's name for it is "partial 16S ribosomal RNA". It matches the Rfam family "Bacterial small subunit ribosomal RNA", at positions 28 to 507 of the family's 1533-position model. The record is from RNAcentral.
GAUGAACGCUGGCGGCGUGCCUAAUACAUGCAAGUAGAACGCUGAAGGAGGAGCUUGCUCUUCUGGAUGAGUUGCGAACGGGUGAGUAACGCGUAGGUAACCUGCCUGGUAGCGGGGGAUAACUAUUGGAAACGAUAGCUAAUACCGCAUGACAACAGUUAUUGCAUGAUAACUGUUUAAAAGGGGCAACUGCUCCACUACCAGAUGGACCUGCGUUGUAUUAGCUAGUUGGUGAGGUAACGGCUCACCAAGGCGACGAUACAUAGCCGACCUGAGAGGGUGAUUGGCCACACUGGGACUGAGACACGGCCCAGACUCCUACGGGAGGGAGCAGUAGGGAAUCUUCGGCAAUGGACGGAAGUCUGACCGAGCAACGCCGCGUGAGUGAAGAAGGUUUUCGGAUCGUAAAGCUCUGUUGUAAGAGAAGAACGAGUGUGAGAGUGGAAAGUUCACACUGUGACGGUAUCUUACCAGAAAGGGACGGCUAACUACGUG